UGAGAGGUGCCCUCUGAGCUACCAACAAGGAAGCGAGAGUAACUGAAUGGAGUACGGAAGGAACAGAAAGCAGGCUUUGAGCACAGGAAGCUUGGAAACAUGACUGUGACGGUGAAGAAGACUGUCCCCUCUCCUGAGGCUGUGCAGAUCCUCUACCAGCGGAUGAGAUAUGAGUACGAGUUUUACCACUACGUCAAAGAGCAGUUCCACCUGCUGAAGCGCAAGUUUGGACUUAAGUCUCACGUCAGCAAGCCCCCCCUGAGGCCACACUUCUUUAUCCCAACUCCACUGGAAACCGAGGAGCCAAUCGACGAUGAAGAACAGGAUGAUGAAAAGUGGCUGGAAGAUAUUUAUAAGAGGUGAUGUGACUGUGUUGCCUCUAUGGCUUUAUCUCCCUUUUCCAGAAAGUUCUUUGUUUGGGGAAGUAAAAUCCUUAAGGGACUAAAUUAAUGCUUGGGUGCAUUAAAAAGAACAAAACAUUCCCACAUGUUGGGGUC
This 497-nucleotide small RNA is filed under the name Pongo abelii (Sumatran orangutan). Its description in RNAcentral is "processed transcript". Lineage: Eukaryota; Metazoa; Chordata; Mammalia; Primates; Hominidae. The record is from RNAcentral.